Molecule: ribosomal RNA, 449 nt
Filed under: uncultured bacterium
Lineage: Bacteria
Description: partial 16S ribosomal RNA
Rfam family: Bacterial small subunit ribosomal RNA
Source: RNAcentral
AACGAACGCUGGCGGCAUGCCUAACACAUGCAAGUCGAACGAGAUCUUCGGGUCUAGUGGCGCACGGGUGCGUAACGCGUGGGAAUCUGCCCUUUGGUUCGGAAUAACAGUUGGAAACGACUGCUAAUACCGGAUGAUGACGAAAGUCCAAAGAUUUAUCGCCAGAGGAUGAGCCCGCGUAGGAUUAGCUAGUUGGUGUGGUAAAGGCGCACCAAGGCGACGAUCCUUAGCUGGUCUGAGAGGAUGAUCAGCCACACUGGGACUGAGACACGGCCCAGACUCAUACGGGAGGCAGCAGUGGGGAAUAUUGGACAAUGGGCGAGAGCCUGAUCCAGCAAUGCCGCGUGAGUGAUGAAGGCCUUAGGGUUGUAAAGCUCUUUUACCAGGGAUGAUAAUGACAGUACCUGGAGAAUAAGCUCCGGCUAACUCCGUGCCAGCCGCCGCCGUAA